UCGGCCUACGGGGGGCAGCAGUGAGGAAUAUUGGUCAAUGGGCUUACGCCUGAACCAGCCAAGUCGCGUGAGGGAAGACUGCCCUAUGGGUUGUAAACCUCUUUUGUCAGGGAGCAACGCCGGCUACGUGUAGCCGGACUGAGAGUACCUGAAGAAAAAGCAUCGGCUAACUCCGUGCCAGCAGCCGCGGUAAUACGGAGGAUGCGAGCGUUAUCCGGAUUUAUUGGGUUUAAAGGGUGCGUAGGCGGUUUUUUAAGUUAGUGGUUAAACGUCGGGGCUUCACCUUGAUUUGCCAUUAAUACUGU
Molecule: ribosomal RNA, 305 nt
Filed under: uncultured bacterium
Lineage: Bacteria
Description: bacterial SSU rRNA
Rfam family: Bacterial small subunit ribosomal RNA
Source: RNAcentral